CACGUAGUUAGCCGGCGCUUCUUUACCCACUACCCUCACCACAACCCAAAGCUGCGGCUUGACCAUGAGCGAAAGAGGUUUACAACCCGGAGGCCGUCAUCCCUCACGCGGCGUCGCUGCAUCAGGCUUUCGCCCAUUGUGCAAUAUUCCCCACUGCUGCCUCCCGUAGGAGUCUGGGCCGUAUCUCAGUCCCAAUGUGACCGGUCACCCUCUCAGGCCGGCUACCCGUCAAAGCCCUUGGUAGGCCAUCACCCCACCAACAAGCUGAUAGGCCGCGAGCCCAUCCCCCACCAGAAAAAACCUUUCCACCAACCCCCAUGCGAAGGCCAGUGAAUAUCCAGUAUUAGCACCCGUUUCCGGGCGUUAUCCCAAAGAAGGGGCAGGUUACUCACGUGUUACUCACCCGUUCGCCACUCAUCCACCCAGCAAGCUGGGCUUCAGCGUUCGACUUGCAUGUGUUAAGCACGCCGCCAGCGUUCGUCCUCGUAGCCACGGAUCGAAACUACCU
Molecule: ribosomal RNA, 508 nt
Filed under: uncultured Actinomyces sp.
Lineage: Bacteria; Bacillati; Actinomycetota; Actinomycetes; Actinomycetales; Actinomycetaceae
Description: partial 16S ribosomal RNA
Source: RNAcentral